Molecule: regulatory RNA element, 69 nt
Rfam family: DUF805 RNA
Source: Rfam
AUAUAGUGGAAGCCAGAGACCACUAAAAAAACGGGGCGGAACCCGAAAAGCCAUACGAGUAGGGGUUAA